GACGAACGCUGGCGGCGUGCUUAACACAUGCAAGUCGAACGGAACGGCCCUGUUUGUGUGGGGUGCUCGAGUUGCCAACUGGUGAGUAACACGUGAGUUACCAGUACCUGACUUUAGGGUAACUUAAGGCAACUGGGUCUAAUACCGGAUAGGAGCUCCUGCUGCAUGGUGGGGGCUGGUAAGUUUCGGCGGUUGGGGAUGGAAAGGCGGCCUAUCGGCUUGGUGGUGGGGUAGUGGAUUACCAAGGCUUGGACAGGUAGCCGGCCUGGGCGGAUGACCUGCCACGCUGGAACUGGGCUACGGCCCGGACUCCUACGGGAGGCAGCGGUGGGGUAGAGUGCACAAUGGGCGGAAGGCUGAUGCAGCAACGCCGCGUGCGGGAUGACGGCCUGCGGGUUGGGAUGCGCUGUCGCCUGUGACGAAGCGAUAGUGACGGUACUGGGUAAAGAAGCACCGGCUAACUACGUG
Molecule: ribosomal RNA, 468 nt
Filed under: uncultured bacterium
Lineage: Bacteria
Description: partial 16S ribosomal RNA
Rfam family: Bacterial small subunit ribosomal RNA
Source: RNAcentral